RNAcentral lists this ribosomal RNA (492 nucleotides) under uncultured bacterium. Its description in RNAcentral is "partial 16S ribosomal RNA". It matches the Rfam family "Bacterial small subunit ribosomal RNA", at positions 29 to 507 of the family's 1533-position model. The record is from RNAcentral.
AUUGAACGCUGGCGGCAUGCUUUACACAUGCAAGUCGAACGGUAACAGGCCUUCGGGUGCUGACGAGUGGCGAACGGGUGAGUAAUGCAUCGGAACGUACCCAGAGGUGGGGGAUAACGCAGCGAAAGCUGUGCUAAUACCGCAUGUGAUCUGAGGAUGAAAGCGGGGGACCGAGCAGCAAUGAUUGGCCUCGCGCCUUUGGAGCGGCCGAUGUCGGAUUAGCUAGUUGGUGGGGUAAAGGCCUACCAAGGCGACGAUCCGUAGCUGGUCUGAGAGGACGACCAGCCACACUGGGACUGUGACACGGCCCAGACUCCUACGGGAGGCAGCAGUGGGGAAUUUUGGACAAUGGGCGCAAGCCUGAUCCAGCAAUGCCGCGUGCGGGAAGAAGGCCUUCGGGUUGUAAACCGCUUUUGGCAGGAACGAAACGGUGUCCGCUAAUACCGGGCGCUAAUGACGGUACCUGCAGAAUAAGCACCGGCUAACUACGUG